UGCAACUCGUAUCGCCUCCCUCGCGCC
Molecule: non-coding RNA, 27 nt
Filed under: Alexandrium fundyense
Lineage: Eukaryota; Dinophyceae; Gonyaulacales; Pyrocystaceae
Source: RNAcentral